This 109-nucleotide ribosomal RNA is filed under the name uncultured bacterium. RNAcentral's name for it is "partial 16S ribosomal RNA". It matches the Rfam family "Bacterial small subunit ribosomal RNA", at positions 355 to 467 of the family's 1533-position model. The record is from RNAcentral.
UGAGGAAUAUUGGACAAUGGGCGGGAGCCUGAUCCAGCCAUGCCGCGUGCAGGAUGACGGCCCUAUGGGUUGUAAACUGCUUUUAUACGGGAAGAAACGCACCUACGUG